CGUUCAGUGAAUGCUCCAUUUGCUUGAGAGUACUUGAUAUUUUUUGAUGUUGCAUUGUUACAAAGUAAAGAUUCUAAUUAACUGUUCUCAUAUUUAUAAUAAAGUUGAGAGUAUUUUCUGCAGAUGGAUGACCCUUAGCUCUCUGUUUCCUUGAGUAAAAAUGGAAAUAAUGACAUCUCAGAGGAUUUGUGAAAUUGAAGUGUUAACUCCAAACUCGAGAGGUAGCAGGAAACAUGGAAAGAAAUUCAAACCAUUUGUGAUGACUGGAUUUGCUACCAACAGGCUGAAUGAUGGUAGCCCAAUGACAGCUCAUAAAUGAGAAAACACUGGGAAAUUGCCAGAGCAUCAGAUGCAGAACAACGUGCAGAAUAAAAGAAGCUUGGAGCAAAAGAGAAAGAGUACAAGAGAGAAAAAAGAAAAGAAAAAGAAAAGCAAUGAAUGGAAAGUAUA
Molecule: long non-coding RNA, 450 nt
Organism: Rhinolophus ferrumequinum (greater horseshoe bat)
Lineage: Eukaryota; Metazoa; Chordata; Mammalia; Chiroptera; Rhinolophidae
Exons: 3
Source: RefSeq, a predicted model, not a curated record